Molecule: ribosomal RNA, 478 nt
Filed under: uncultured ammonia-oxidizing bacterium
Lineage: Bacteria
Description: bacterial SSU rRNA
Rfam family: Bacterial small subunit ribosomal RNA
Source: RNAcentral
GCUAAUACCGCAUAUUCUCUCAGGAGGAAAGUAGGGGAUCGAAAGACCUUAUGCUUUAAGAGCGGCCGAUGUCUGAUUAGCUAGUUGGUAAGGUAAUGGCUUACCAAGGCGACGAUCAGUAGUUGGUCUGAGAGGACGACCAGCCACACUGGGACUGAGACACGGCCCAGACUCCUACGGGAGGCAGCAGUGGGGAAUUUUGGACAAUGGGCGCAAGCCUGAUCCAGCAAUGCCGCGUGAGUGAAGAAGGCCUUCGGGUUGUAAAGCUCUUUCAGUUGAGAAGAAAAGAUUGUGACUAAUAAUUGCAAUUCAUGACGGUAUCAACAGAAGAAGCACCGGCUAACUACGUGCCAGCAGCCGCGGUAAUACGUAGGGUGCGAGCGUUAAUCGGAAUUACUGGGCGUAAAGGGUGCGCAGGCGGUUCUGUAAGUCAGAUGUGAAAUCCCCGGGCUUAACCUGGGAACUGCGUUUGAAACUA